AGAAAUGCUCCACUCCAGGCAGCCAAACCCAGGAUCCAUCUGGUAGACAUGUUAGUCAGUGACCCCAACAGCUCAGCACAUUUCUACCUAUUGAGAUAGAGUAAAAAUGACUCCUACAGCCCUAAAGUUCAGUUUUAUAACACAGAGGAUGAUGUAAUUGAAACCAAGCCCCCAAAGCCACACUGGUAUGGAGGAUGAAAGUGCAACCAUGGAGGAAAGGCAAACAACAAACAGAGAAUUCUCAUGGAAUAUCUGCAUGAAGGGAUGUGGAGUGGGCAUGAAGGAUGAAGAAGGGAAAUUCAACAACAAAAUGCCAUUCAUUUUAGGCUAAACUUUUGUGACAUUAAAUGAUGAUUUUGAUGAAUUCUUUCUGACUUGU
Molecule: long non-coding RNA, 379 nt
Filed under: Phascolarctos cinereus (koala)
Lineage: Eukaryota; Metazoa; Chordata; Mammalia; Diprotodontia; Phascolarctidae
Description: lncRNA (ENSPCIG00000031799.1)
Source: RNAcentral